UACAGAGGAUGCAAGCGUUAUCCGGAAUGAUUGGGCGUAAAGCGUCCGCAGGCGGUUGUGUAAGUCCGCUGUUAAAGCGUUAGGCUCAACCUAAUAAGGGCAGUGGAAACUAUGAGACUAGAGUAUGUUAGGGGUAGAGGGAAUUCCCAGUGUAGCGGUGAAAUGCGUAGAGAUUGGGAAGAACACCGGUGGCGAAAGCGCUCUGCUGGGACAAUACUGACACUGAGGGACGAAAGCUAGGGGAGCGAAUGGG
RNAcentral lists this ribosomal RNA (253 nucleotides) under uncultured bacterium. Its description in RNAcentral is "partial 16S ribosomal RNA". It matches the Rfam family "Bacterial small subunit ribosomal RNA", at positions 524 to 776 of the family's 1533-position model. The record is from RNAcentral.